This 257-nucleotide ribosomal RNA is filed under the name uncultured bacterium. Its description in RNAcentral is "partial 16S ribosomal RNA". The record is from RNAcentral.
CUGCUGCCUCCCGUAGGAGUCUGGGCCGUGUCUCAGUCCCAAUGUGGCCGUUCAACCUCUCAGUCCGGCUACCGAUCGUCGGCUUGGUGAGCCGUUACCUCACCAACUACCUAAUCGGACGCGAGCCCAUCUUCGAGCGAUAAAAAUCUUUGAUACCAGCAGGAUGUCCUCCCGGUAUGUUAUGCGGUAUUAGCGACCGUUUCCAGCCGUUAUUCCCCUCUCGAAGGCAGGUUGCUCACGUGUUACUCACCCGUCCG